RNAcentral lists this unclassified non-coding RNA (2348 nucleotides) under Dimorphilus gyrociliatus. Its description in RNAcentral is "dgyrCDS7398". The record is from RNAcentral. Lineage: Eukaryota; Metazoa; Annelida; Polychaeta; Dinophilidae.
AUUGACAUGUUGCAAGACCAUUAGACUCGUCUGGAACUUCGAGAGUAUAAAGUUAACUAAAAGUAAUUCAAGUAUACUUUAGGAAGCUACGUCUUUUGUUCUGAAUAGCUAUUUGAAAAGAGGGUAGGUAGAACAAUAUUAUGUUAUAUUUUCUUAUAGAGAUAGAGAGAGAGCGAGAGAGAUAGAGAUAGAGAGACAGAGACAGAGAACUUGUAGAGUUUACCGCCGUUUCUAUUUAUAGGCUAGACACUGGUGAAAGUUGAUCAUUUGGAAGAAAAUUGGGUUAACGCUGUAUAAAAAUAAAGAGAGGAGGAAAAGUUUUAUUUUUACAAAGAUGAUUAAUUUUAAAUCUAUGAUAGAUUAUUUUACACUUAUGGAAACAGUCAAAACAUUACAAGUAUUGACGUAUGAGUUUCUAAUGAAACAUAUAGAAUUAUAUAUUGAAGACGAAAGAUUAUAUAAUGAAUGGAUGAAUAAAAGAUUAUCACCACUAUUGGCUGGAAGAUUAUUAUUCGAUUUGAAUGAUACUUUGCUAUUUAUUCCUGAAAAUAUACUGAAAUUAUUUAAUAAAGAUAUUUGCUUUUUCAAAGAGAUUAAACUAAAUUGUCGAAAUGUUUAUAAGAAUUCGUCAAUGGAGUUUUUAAAGGGUCAUGCCCUGAGUAAAGUUUCCAUUGAAUUUGCUAGAAAUAUCCUAUUGAAAGAUUGGAUUUGUUUUUUGGAUGAGACACUUGUAACCCAUCUAUCUAUAAAGGGAUCCAGAGUAUCUGAUAUUAGAUACAAGGAAGAAGCUAGAAGUAUUGCUUGCGUUACAUGCCUAAAACCUUUUCAGAACAUUGUACAUCUUGAUAUUUCAAGAACCGGAUUUGUCGAUGAACAAUUGAGAUAUAUUUCACGAGAGCUUCCCGGAGUUGAGCAUUUAAAUAUGUCGGAAACUUUAAUAACAGAUCUACGUCAUCUUGAAGCUUUUCCGAAAUUGAAUUCGUUAGAUUGCUCAUUUCCACUUGAUAUAAAAGUAUAUGGUACAUAUUUGGCUCUAUUACGUCUUAAAUCGCUUGAGUAUUUGGAUAUGUCGAGAGAAGACGGUAUUACAUACGACAAGCAAUUUUUGGGCUACAAUUACUGUAGACGAGUAGACGAGGACGAUAUUGAUGAUAUUAAAACUGGUACUAUUCCAAAGUGCUUCCUUACGAAAUAUAAAUGGAAAAUUGAUGAUUUUGUCAAUUAUGCUAAUUGGCCGAAUUUAAGUUAUAUUAAUAUGUCGGGAAGUUGGAGUCAUACUCUAUUUCCUUAUAUAAGAAAAUUUAUUGAGAGACAUACUAAGCUAAAAUAUUUGGGUCUAUUCGGUUUCGAAACGAAUAUGGAAAGAAAUUUAGACUCUAUUGAUCCGGAUAUACGUCAAUUUAUUGGAAUAACGAGUGAUAAGAAGAGAUGUGUUCAGCAUAGAGCUAAAUUUAUUAAGGCGAAUAGAGGAAACGAAUCACAUUUUGUGUACUUUCUAAAUUGGAUUUUGGGACACAGUAUCGAUGCUGAAGACGAAGAAUUAAAGGCUAAAGUUAAGGGAAUUGAAUACGAGAUUGCAGAGGUUGUCUUAGAUCAAUUAAAUGAAUUAAAGCAUUCAGUCUAUUCUUACGGCGAUUCUUCAAGGAAUAUAAUAUCCUUGUUAGAUACGUUUGUCGUAGUAAGGAUCAUUAAUUUACCCGCUUCGCAAACUAUUCUAAAAAUACUUAAAACUUGUGCUCAAGUAUUCCUGCAAAACGAUGAAGAUAGCUUUUGGACACACGAUUUAAGUGAUCUCUUUUUUAUAUUUAAUAAAUAUUUCACUCAUUUGAAUGAAGUUGCUGAUAGAAGUUUAAUUCUUAAAAGACUAUUUGACCAUCCAAAUCCAAAUAGAUGGACAUCGUAUUCGUAUGUCUUAUGCGAUUUUUUGAAUAAGAUCAUUGCGAAAAAGCUGCUGUCAACGAAGGAAAUUAUCUGUUUAACUGAAAGUUUCUAUAAGUUUGAACAUCGAUUAAAGUAUUUACUUAAAUUCGAUAAAGACGACGAAAUUAAAGAGAGUUAUGGUACUGUUAGAAAACUAAUGAAUCAUUACAUUCGUCAAUGCGAAGCUGAAUAUAACUUGGAUCUGAAACCUUGCGAUAAUAGGAAAUAAAAUGGGAAAUCUAUGGCUUUUGAUUUUGUGAGAAAUAUUUUUUUGUGUGUUCAAAUUUUGGAAAGAAAAAGAAAAAGAAAAAAAAAAGAAUAUUACAUGAACUUUUCUACAUUAAUACAUGUUCAACAUAUAUGUUCUUUCUAUUUAUGUAUUUAAUGAAUCUAUUUAUAAAUGCAUAUUUUUUUUAUUGUAUCCGUUA